AUGAAAGAAUGUUUUCUUUGGCUCACAAAUCACUGUUAUAUUAUAGAAUUCAUUCUUAUAAUGAAUGAAGGAAACUACUUGUCGCCAUUAAUUAAAGACAAGGGCUACUCUUCAAUGAAACUAUAAUAAUCACCUUCAUAUGCCAGAUACUUGGCAUCAUUGUUUCAUCACCAAGUAGACCACAAUAACUUAAUUGAUAGGCAAGGUGGCAAUUGAUUAUAUUAGAUAUCCUAACUGCAUUGGUGUGGUGCCCAGCUAAGUAAACAACAGAGGGUGAAAAUUAUUAGGUCCGGCCUCUCUCAGAGACUGCCUCAUCGUGUAGUACAUAUUAUCAAACGCUUGAUGUUUCACAGAGAUAAUAGAGUGCUUUCACAACUUACAUGCGUACGAAUUCAUUGAAGCGUCCAAGCUUAUUAACACCAUGACCGAAGACAAUUGGAGGAAAACUAGAAACCAAAAAUCCAUUUACAAAUUUUGUAAACCAUCCAUGCAUCACGCAGAUGAUGGAAAGGAUAUGUUUACCAAUUUGGAGCUUGCUAUUUCAAUAUAGGAUCUAUUUCUCAUACAUUUACCAAUUCCUAGCUGUUUUCUAAAUUUGAAAUCAUUCCUCUUCAUGUAGCCUUUCUCUUCUUCUGCAGUUUCUGCAAUUUCUUCCACUUGAGAUAAAUUUGGUAUGACAACCCAGAGAAGACCAUGACUAUACAGCCCCAUUGUUUAGUUGACAAGGGAUUGCCACUUAACAAUGAAGACACCACAAUGCUGACAAAUUUGCGGGUUGUGGUGAUUGUGGUGUUAGCAAGAGAGCCAAACCGGCUUAUGGUUAAAAAUAUAAAAUUCUGCCCCACUGCACCACAGAGGCAAUAGAGAAAAAUGUCCCAAGCUGCCUCAGGGUGCUGUUUACAGAAUUGAACUGCAUCAAAUCCAAUGCCCUGUGGCCACCCAAACAUGUAGAGCAUGUUAUAUAUGGUACCCCAUAAAUUCAUUCCCAGCAUUAUAUCCCAGGCAGUUGUCUUUGGAUACCUUGCAGUCAGUGAAUCCUGAGUUGCAUUUGUAAAUCCAUCAAAUGCAAGGUUCAAAAAGCAAAGGCCGUAUCCAAGGGGCGCAUUUGGAUGUGCCAGCUUGCUAAUGGUCUUUGAGCUAGUCUGAAAUCAGUGACAGCAAUCAGAGAAAAAGUAAAGAGUCAAUAUUAAGAUUUUAUUGAUUCAAGAUAAGUUUUCUGAAGAAAUUCUUAAAAUGCAUUCCUGACCUUCAAUAAUGCAAAAAUAGAUACCCCUCCAGCAACAAGGAAAGUACAUAUAUACUCUGGAAAGGUGUAUCUGAUACCAUAAACUAAAGUGCCCAUCAACAUAACAGGAAUCAUUUUUGAGGAUUUUGCCAGGACCUGGGCAGGAUAACUAAUAUAUUUUAAUGCUUCAAUCCCCAUGGCGGGGCCAAUUGUGUUUGUAAUGCCUGCGCUCCAGUAUGUCCACCAGGGGGCGCCACCUGCACUGCUUCUGGACCAAAUCUUUAUCAUCAUAUAAGACCAAACUAAGCAGACAACAUUUUGCGCCAGAUUUAGGAAUGCCAGAUGCUCAAACCUCUUCCCAUCCGGACCAAAUCGUUUUGUUGAUAGAGUUUCUUGGAGAACGCCUUGGUAAAUGUAAGCCGACCAGAUUCCGGCAACGCAAAAGGCCAACACUAACACUCGCCGGAGACCGGCGCCGUGUGCUUCCAUUUCGCCGCCGGAAGUCCCGAUUACAAAAUUUUUGGCGGGGUUUU
Molecule: unclassified non-coding RNA, 1758 nt
Filed under: Hevea brasiliensis (rubber tree)
Lineage: Eukaryota; Viridiplantae; Streptophyta; Magnoliopsida; Malpighiales; Euphorbiaceae
Source: RNAcentral